This 636-nucleotide ribosomal RNA is filed under the name Debaryomyces hansenii. RNAcentral describes it as "eukaryotic LSU rRNA". The stretch from base 265 to 418 matches the Rfam family "5.8S ribosomal RNA". The record is from RNAcentral. Lineage: Eukaryota; Fungi; Ascomycota; Pichiomycetes; Serinales; Debaryomycetaceae.
GGUCAUUUAGAGGAAGUAAAAGUCGUAACAAGGUUUCCGUAGGUGAACCUGCGGAAGGAUCAUUACAGUAUUCUUUUUGCCAGCGCUUAAUUGCGCGGCGAAAAAACCUUACACACAGUGUUUUUUGUUAUUACAAGAACUUUUGCUUUGGUCUGGACUAGAAAUAGUUUGGGCCAGAGGUUUACUGAACUAAACUUCAAUAUUUAUAUUGAAUUGUUAUUUAUUUAAUUGUCAAUUUGUUGAUUAAAUUCAAAAAAUCUUCAAAACUUUCAACAACGGAUCUCUUGGUUCUCGCAUCGAUGAAGAACGCAGCGAAAUGCGAUAAGUAAUAUGAAUUGCAGAUUUUCGUGAAUCAUCGAAUCUUUGAACGCACAUUGCGCCCUCUGGUAUUCCAGAGGGCAUGCCUGUUUGAGCGUCAUUUCUCUCUCAAACCUUCGGGUUUGGUAUUGAGUGAUACUCUUAGUCGAACUAGGCGUUUGCUUGAAAUGUAUUGGCAUGAGUGGUACUGGAUAGUGCUAUAUGACUUUCAAUGUAUUAGGUUUAUCCAACUCGUUGAAUAGUUUAAUGGUAUAUUUCUCGGUAUUCUAGGCUCGGCCUUACAAUAUAACAAACAAGUUGACCUCAAUCAGGUAGGAU